CACAUGUAUGUGUUAUCAGACAUUUAGCUACAAGAUAUCUAUCCUGUCUGAAGCAUGUCUCCAAGGCAGUGAAUUGCAUCAAUGCAGAGUUCCAGGAAUGGCUUGUAACUAUCAAGAAUCCCUUUUAUUCAACCUGUUACACAAUGCCAAUACAUCAUCAUUUUUCUGACUAAGUCUCAAGCUCCCAAGAGAGAAAACUGGAACAGCUGUGAAAUUCUAUCUUCGUGAUGUCUACUUUGAGCACAUCAGCUCAGCUUCCUCACUGACUAUUGGAGAAGACAGCAAAGAUUCGUCCCAGAAUAUG
Non-coding RNA from Pogona vitticeps (central bearded dragon), 304 nucleotides. Lineage: Eukaryota; Metazoa; Chordata; Lepidosauria; Squamata; Agamidae. The record is from RefSeq and is a predicted model, not a curated record.